AAUCCAUAGGUUAAUGAGGCGAACCGGGGGAACUGAAACAUCUAAGUACCCCGAGGAAAAGAAAUCAACCGAGAUUCCCCCAGUAGCGGCGAGCGAACGGGGAGGAGCCCAGAGCCUGAAUCAGCAUGUGUGUUAGUGGAAGCGUCUGGAAAGGCGCGCGAUACAGGGUGACAGCCCCGUACACAAAAGCGCAUGUGCUGUGAGCUCGAUGAGUAGGGCGGGACACGUGGUAUCCUGUCUGAAUAUGGGGGGACCAUCCUCCAAGGCUAAAUACUCCUGACUGACCGAUAGUGAACCAGUACCGUGAGGGAAAGGCGAAAAGAACCCCGGCGAGGGGAGUGAAAAAGAACCUGAAACCGUGUACGUACAAGCAGUGGGAGCACAGGUUUACCUGUGUGACUGCGUACCUUUUGUAUAAUGGGUCAGCGACUUAUAUUCUGUAGCAAGGUUAACCGUAUAGGGGAGCCGGAGGGAAACCGAGUCUUAAUUGGGCGUUAAGUUGCAGGGUAUAGACCCGAAACCCGGUGAUCUAGCCAUGGGCAGGUUGAAGGUUGGGUAACACUAACUGGAGGACCGAACCGACUAAUGUUGAAAAAUUAGCGGAUGACCUGUGGCUGGGGGUGAAAGGCCAAUCAAACCGGGAGAUAGCUGGUUCUCCCCGAAAGCUAUUUAGGUAGCGCCUCGUGAAUUCAUCUCCGGGGGUAGAGCACUGUUUCGGCUAGGGGGCCAUCCCGGCUUACCAACCCGAUGCAAACUGCGAAUACCGGAGAAUGUUAUCACGGGAGACACACGGCGGGUGCUAACGUCCGUCGUGAAGAGGGAAACAACCCAGACCGCCAGCUAAGGUCCCAAAGUCAUGGUUAAGUGGGAAACGAUGUGGGAAGGCCCAGACAGCCAGGAUGUUGGCUUAGAAGCAGCCAUCAUUUAAAGAAAGCGUAAUAGCUCACUGGUCGAGUCGGCCUGCGCGGAAGAUGUAACGGGGCUAAACCAUGCACCGAAGCUGCGGCAGCGAACGUAUCACCCAAGACAACUUUACGGAGUUGACGAUUGACGGAGCGAAGCGACGUCAAAGCGUUCAUUAA
RNAcentral lists this ribosomal RNA (1082 nucleotides) under Salmonella enterica subsp. enterica serovar Coeln. Its description in RNAcentral is "partial 23S ribosomal RNA". It matches the Rfam family "Bacterial large subunit ribosomal RNA", at positions 161 to 1227 of the family's 2925-position model. Lineage: Bacteria; Pseudomonadati; Pseudomonadota; Gammaproteobacteria; Enterobacterales; Enterobacteriaceae. The record is from RNAcentral.